GCCAGAAGAGGUGCGUUGCCCAGGUAACCGUAUUGGAGGAACCAGUCCGGAGAAAAUACGUGAGGGGGAGCAACGCCGAGGUGAAAAGCGUCUGGUUACGCCCAUCACCGGCCGCAGGGGCUGAAUCCCCUGGGUUGUCACCAGAAACGUUCGCAGUCGGGCGUUUCAUACUCGCCGCAUCAGCGAUGCGAGUCUACAAGGUGGAGCACUUCUGGGUG
Molecule: non-coding RNA, 218 nt
Filed under: Klebsiella indica
Lineage: Bacteria; Pseudomonadati; Pseudomonadota; Gammaproteobacteria; Enterobacterales; Enterobacteriaceae
Description: Lysine riboswitch
Rfam family: Lysine riboswitch aptamer
About the family: Riboswitches are metabolite binding domains within certain messenger RNAs that serve as precision sensors for their corresponding targets. Allosteric rearrangement of mRNA structure is mediated by ligand binding, and this results in modulation of gene expression.
Source: RNAcentral